Molecule: ribosomal RNA, 253 nt
Filed under: uncultured bacterium
Lineage: Bacteria
Description: partial 16S ribosomal RNA
Rfam family: Bacterial small subunit ribosomal RNA
Source: RNAcentral
UACGUAGGGGGCAAGCGUUGUCCGGAAUCAUUGGGCGUAAAGGGCGCGUAGGCGGCCUGGCAAGUGGAAGGUGAAAUCCCUCGGCUUAACCGAGGAACUGCCUCCCAAACUGCUUGGCUUGAGACCAGGAGAGGUGAGUGGAAUUCCCAGUGUAGCGGUGAAAUGCGUAGAUAUUGGGAGGAACACCAGUGGCGAAGGCGGCUCACUGGACUGGUACUGACGCUGAGGCGCGAAAGCGUGGGGAGCAAACGGG